AGGAAAGCAGGGGAUCGCAAGACCUUGCGCUUUUGGCGCGGCCGAUGUCUGAUUAGCUAGUUGGUGAGGUAAAGGCUUACCAAGGCUUCGAUCAGUAGCUGGUCUGAGAGGACGACCAGCCACACUGGGACUGAGACACGGCCCAGACUCCUACGGGAGGCAGCAGUGGGGAAUUUUGGACAAUGGGGGAAACCCUGAUCCAGCCAUGCCGCGUGAGUGAAGAAGGCCUUCGGGUUGUAAAGCUCUUUCAGCCGGAACGAAACGGUCACGGCUAAUACCUGUGAUCACUGACGGUACCGGAAGAAGAAGCACCGGCUAACUACGUGCCAGCAGCCGCGGUAAUACGUAGGGUGCGAGCGUUAAUCGGAAUUACUGGGCGUAAAGCGUGCGCAGGCGGUUUUGUAAGUCAGAUGUGAAAUCCCCGGGCUCAACCUGGGAACUGCGUUUGAAACUACAAAGCU
RNAcentral lists this ribosomal RNA (461 nucleotides) under uncultured beta proteobacterium. Its description in RNAcentral is "bacterial SSU rRNA". It matches the Rfam family "Bacterial small subunit ribosomal RNA", at positions 200 to 642 of the family's 1533-position model. Lineage: Bacteria; Pseudomonadati; Pseudomonadota; Betaproteobacteria. The record is from RNAcentral.